GUGCUUGCUUCACCAGCACAUAUAUUAAAAUUGGAAUACAGAGCAGAUUAGCAUGGCCCCUGUGCAAGGAUCACACACAAAUUUGUGAAGCGUUCCAUGUUUUU
This is a small nuclear RNA of Camelus dromedarius (Arabian camel), 104 nucleotides long. Lineage: Eukaryota; Metazoa; Chordata; Mammalia; Artiodactyla; Camelidae. The record is from Ensembl.